CAGUAGCCGCGGGAAUACGGAGGGCGCGAGCGUUACCCGGAUUCACUGGGCGUAAAGGGCGUGUAGGCGGCCUGGGGCGUCCCAUGUGAAAGGCCACGGCUCAACCGUGGAGGAGCGUGGGAUACGCUCAGGCUGGAGGGUGGGAGAGGGUGGUGGAAUUCCCGGAGUAGCGGUGAAAUGCGCAGAUACCGGGAGGAACGCCGAUGGCGAAGGCAGCCACCUGGUCCACUUCUGACGCUGAGGCGCGAAAGCGUGAGGAGCAAACCGGAUUAGAUACCCCGGUAGUCCCUGUCUCUUAUAC
RNAcentral lists this ribosomal RNA (301 nucleotides) under uncultured bacterium. RNAcentral's name for it is "partial 16S ribosomal RNA". It matches the Rfam family "Bacterial small subunit ribosomal RNA", at positions 509 to 807 of the family's 1533-position model. The record is from RNAcentral.